AGGCUGUAGAGCGUAGAGGAGCAGAAGAUGAUCAGAACAGGUGGAUCCUCGCCUUGGCCCGGUUUGCACGCAGCGCGCAACCCCGGAAGAGGACAAACCUAGAGAGAAAGCCCACCGCGGGGAGGGUCUAGGCAUGCGCAGGAGGUACCAGGCCCGGAGCUGUCAGUUACUGGUCCGCUAGCAGAACACUGUCCUGUGGGAAUCAAAGAAGUGAACAGAAAUGUCAUCACAGGGGAAUUGCAGGCCCAUAUGUCACCUACAGGAAGAGAAGAAAACUUCCAGGAAGAAGCAACUCUUGAAAAGUCAGGUCCAAAGAACGGUCUUGAGCCUCCCCUUCCCAAUACUACUGGCCAGAACACCGUCCCUGUUUUAGGAAAAGCUACAAAGGAGGAAGAAGCCUGUGGAAGUCCAAGAUAUUACAUUUCCUUGGGAAGCAGAAGGAAAAGGUGAACAAACCAGAAAGGUGGACAUCCCAGGUUUUGGAGAGAACCAUGAAGCUUUUGGAGGAGGGGGGCGGAGAAAGAGAAGAACACGGAGCACAGUUCAGAAAGAGACGAUGCAAGAGGAUUUUAGGAUGUGUUCCUGUGGUUAUUA
This is a long non-coding RNA of Mustela erminea (ermine), 594 nucleotides long. RefSeq lists it as uncharacterized. NCBI's taxonomy places the organism in Eukaryota, Metazoa, Chordata, Mammalia, Carnivora, Mustelidae. The transcript has 4 exons. The record is from RefSeq and is a predicted model, not a curated record.